This 297-nucleotide long non-coding RNA is filed under the name Hordeum vulgare. RNAcentral describes it as "long non-coding RNA (HVUL_LNC019903)". Lineage: Eukaryota; Viridiplantae; Streptophyta; Magnoliopsida; Poales; Poaceae. The record is from RNAcentral.
UUUUUUUGGUUGUAACUAGCUAAAAUUAAUCGAUUCUGCAGUUCCCAGUGAUCAACCAUGAGGACCUCUGGCCCUUCCCCUAUUGCUUUCCAAACGUCCCCCGUAAUACUUAACUCCUCCAAUUUGGAGGAGUUGAAUUUUUUGCACGGCCUUCCUCAAAUUCAUAAGUUCUCAAAAGCUCAAAGCACAAAUAGUGAUUUCAAACAGAAGCCUAAACUAGAUUAGCACAUAAUUAAAUCUAAAACAAGCUAAUACAAGGUAAAACUACUACUCCUCGGAGGGAAGAUCAACGAUCGA